AGGGAAUCUUGCGCAAUGGGCGAAAGCCUGACGCAGCGACGCCGCGUGAGGGAAGAAGGCCUUCGGGUCGUAAACCUCUGUCCUUGGGGACGAUGAUGACGGUACCCAAGGAGGAAGCCCCGGCUAACUACGUGCCAGCAGCCGCGGUAAUACGUAGGGGGCGAGCGUUGUCCGGAAUCACUGGGCGUAAAGGGUGCGUAGGCGGCUUGGCAAGUCCUGUGUGAAAGGUCGCGGCUCAACCGCGGUGGGUCAUGGGAAACUGCCAAGCUCGAGUGCCGGAGAGGAUAGCGGAAUUCCCGGUGUAGCGGUGAAAUGCGUAGAGAUCGGGAGGAACACCAGUGGCGAAGGCGGCUAUCUGGAAGGUCACUGACGCUGAGGCACGACAGCUGGGGGAGCAAAC
This 400-nucleotide ribosomal RNA is filed under the name uncultured bacterium. Its description in RNAcentral is "bacterial SSU rRNA". It matches the Rfam family "Bacterial small subunit ribosomal RNA", at positions 356 to 773 of the family's 1533-position model. The record is from RNAcentral.